GGGGGGAAUCUUCCGCAAUGGGCGAAAGCCUGACGGAGCAACGCCGCGUGAGUGAAGAAGGCCUUCGGGUUGUAAAGCUCUGUCUUUGGGGACGAAGAAAGUGACGGUACCCAAGGAGGAAGCCACGGCUAACUACGUGCCAGCAGCCGCGGUAAUACGUAGGUGGCAAGCGUUGUCCGGAAUCAUUGGGCGUAAAGGGCGCGUAGGCGGGUAAUUAAGUCAGAUGUGAAAUAUGCGGGCUCAACCCGGAUAUGCAACUGAAACUGGAUACCUUGAGUGCAGGAGAGGACAGUGGAAUUCCUAGUGUAGCGGUGAAAUGCGUAGAUAUUAGGAGGAACACCGAGUGGCGAAGGCGGCUGGUCUGGACUGUAACUGACGCUGAGGCGCGAAAGCGUGGGG
Molecule: ribosomal RNA, 399 nt
Filed under: uncultured bacterium
Lineage: Bacteria
Description: bacterial SSU rRNA
Rfam family: Bacterial small subunit ribosomal RNA
Source: RNAcentral